CCUGAACAUGUUGAUGUAGCUUGGACUUUACACAAUCUUGGUAAUUUGUACCUUCGUACUAAAGAAUUUGACAAAGCAAGAGAAUUUCACGAAAAAGCGCAGGCAACUCGAAAAAAAUCAGUUGCUUCGGAUCAUAUUGUUGUUACUGAAUCUUCGAACAGUAUUGAAAUUAACGAAAUUCUGCUAGAGAUUUCCCAAGAAAUUCCCGGUAAAUGGAAAAAAUUGGCAAUAUUUCUGAAGGUCAGAGAUGCGACAAUAGAAAGAAUUGAUCUAAAUCAUCGUGACGUGAGCUGGCAAGGGUUUGAAAUGCUAAAGUUUUGGUUUGAAUCACGAGAAAAUAAGCAGUUGUGGUACGAAGAACUUGCCGCUGCUUUACGCAAGAUCGAGAAAAAUCGUUUGGCUGAAGACGUUCUUCAUAAAGGUGCAAAUGUUGCUAAAAGUUGUUAAACUGAAAUUCAAAGGUCAUUUGCCCAUUUUUUAUAAUCGCCAUUUUUAUGUAAAACUCAGAAGCUAACAUUGGAUUGGUUUUAUUGAUUUACGCUUUUAUAAUAUACAUGAAAAAAUUUCUCAGUUCUCAUUGGUUAAUUAAGAGCAGUGCAAUUUAUUGUAAAUACCAGUGGAAAAAAUUAAGAAACACGGUGCCGAAAAAAGGAAAUACAGUGCAUUUUCUUUUAAAUAAAUUUGCUCCUGACUGGUUAAUCAAACAAAGAAUUGAUCUAAGAGCCAAACAAUCUAAAACAUUUCCAAGGCAUGAAAGUUAAACUAAAGUAAACGAAGCAAAUGCAAUGGUUGGCGCAAGCUUAAGUAUAUUUUUUUUGGUGAAUGACCUUACAAUUCGCACUGAACCAAAAAUGAACACUGCCAAAAGUAGUUACCUUGUUCUAACUGCGUGUGUGAAAGCUAUGGUGUUAUGAAAAGUAAUAUUCAAUAGAAUUGUUAUAUACGAGCCAGCCGGAAUUGAGAAAUUUUUUCAUGUAUAUUAAGUCCUUAAUAACUGACCUCGAGGUCUUUACGGACGGACAGAGUUCUUUUUGCACCAACCAAGCCGUGGUAAAGUAAAGAUCGAGAAAGCGAGGUUAUUAAAAUAUUUAUUAUGUACGGCAUUAUUUGACCUGAAACAAAGCUUGCUUUCUUUCUUGUCCUGGCUGUUUUGUUACGGUUGACUUUCAUCUUUCUAUUUUUUGUCAGUAAAAAUAAAUCAUUUUUAGUUUUGUAUCGUCUGCAUAAUUAAACUAUUUUCCGAGAGUUUUUCUUUUUACUUACAUUCGUAAUUAGUUUUUGUUUCGUUUCUUUUCGUUUUGCUUUUUUUUCAAGAACUUUGUUUACAUUUUACAUUUGACUAUAAAAUUACGCAUUUUGGACUGUGUAACAUUCUUUAUUUUUCUUGAUACGUCUCUGACUCUGCCAGUCAGACUACUACUUAUGUACACGACUAUGGUUUUCUUAUAUAGAUAAGAAAUAGCAUAAAUAUAUAUUAAUCAUGUUUUAUAUCAAUAUAUUACAAAACUCUUUUUUAAAACUAGUAUCCUUGUAUUUAUCUGUCUGAUAUUUCUAUUAAUUUCUUUCUAGUUUAAAUAAACUAUUAACUAACUAUUCCCUAUGUAAUGUAACAAAUGUUCCGAUUUUAUAAAUGUUUAUAUUAAAGGUUAAACAUAGUCUUUUCA
This is a long non-coding RNA of Xenia sp. Carnegie-2017, 1664 nucleotides long. RefSeq lists it as uncharacterized. The record is from RefSeq and is a predicted model, not a curated record. The transcript is spliced from 2 exons. Lineage: Eukaryota; Metazoa; Cnidaria; Anthozoa; Malacalcyonacea; Xeniidae.